AUUGAACGCUGGCGGCAGGCCUAACACAUGCAAGUCGAGCGAGCGGCGGACGGGUGAGUAAUGUCUGGGAAACUGCCUGAUGGAGGGGGAUAACUACUGGAAACGGCAGCUAAUAACGCAUACCAUCAGAUGUGCCCAGGUGGGAUUAGCUAGUAGGUGGGGUAACGGCUCACCUAGGCGACGAUCCCUAGCUGGUCUGAGAGGAUGACCAGCCACACGGGAACUGUGACACGUUCCAGAGUCCUUCGGGAGGCAGCAGUGGGAAAUAUUGCACAAGGGGCGCAAGCCGGAUGCAGCCAUGCCGCGUGUGUGAAGAAGGCCUUCGGGUUGUAAAGCACUUUCUGCGGGGAGGCGUUACCCGCAGAAGAAGCACCGGCUAACUCCGUGCCAGCAGCCGCGGUAAUUC
Molecule: ribosomal RNA, 406 nt
Filed under: uncultured bacterium
Lineage: Bacteria
Description: partial 16S ribosomal RNA
Rfam family: Bacterial small subunit ribosomal RNA
Source: RNAcentral